This 1528-nucleotide long non-coding RNA is filed under the name Parus major (Great Tit). RNAcentral describes it as "lncRNA (ENSPMJG00000000493.1)". Lineage: Eukaryota; Metazoa; Chordata; Aves; Passeriformes; Paridae. The record is from RNAcentral.
CCCCUUUGCAGUCCCCUGCUUCUCUCGCUAUUGGAUCCCGACCCUAAACUCCACCCCUACCCUGACAUAUAAAGCCCAUGACUCUACCCUGACCCUUCUCUUGGUCCCUGGCUCAAUAAAGGAUCCUGGGUUUUGCUAAACCAAGACCCAUGCUGUUGUCAUCCUUUCCUGUUGGUCAUUAGUGGCUGCCUGAGGUCUGAGACUCCGGGGCCCGGGGGAGUUGUGGUGCCCCUCACUGCAGUGGAACCUAACAUAUCUAGGCCUGCCCCUUGUCCUAAAAGCAGAUUGUGGAUUCCCAAGCUUUUACUAAUCAAGGUGUUUACCAAGACACUUCACAGCAUUCCCGGCCAGUUUAUUACUUAUUGCACAUCAUCUGAAAACAACUUCAAAGGUACAGAAGGUGAAUUAAAGGUCUGCUAAGAAAUCUCAGACAGGAGCCUUAGGGAAACCACAAUCUGCUGUAACACUUUGUGGACGCUGUUAAUGUAAUUCUUGAAAUCCAUAUAUAUUGUGUGUGUGAUGUAUAUAUAAUAAACCAGUAACAUGCUAAGGACCAUUACCUGGUAUUGCUGACCACUUAACCACCAGCCCUAGCCUUGAGCUCUUUAUUAGUUUCAGUUGACAAACACAAAUCCCAGCCCUGGGGAACUACCUCCUGCACUGAGUGCAACUUCCCAGAACAGACCCAUCAACAGAUGAGCAGGAACUCUACAAAUCUAAAUGGCCUUGAGGACCAUAAGAAUUCAGCACAAGACCAGCAUCACAAACACAACAUUUUUACUCCUGGCUAUCCUCCUCUCCGACAGAACUGGAAGAUAAGGUAUAACACCAUAACAACAUAUUUCCAUAAUGUGAUUGUCAAAAACCAGCUAUUUUCAGAGGGCCCACAGGCUUCAGUCCUCCUCCUGGUAGAGUCUGAUCCUUGAGCUCCCCGGUGUUAUUGGAGAACUUCUAUCCUGAGUUCUUUGCUCACUUGUUUACCAACAAAUCGCAAACUUAAUGUUUUGUUUUAACACACAUUUAAACACAUUUUAAACAGUUAAGCUUUCUUCAUUUUAACAGAAAAUGGGCUGCUUCAGUCUAAUUGCUUUAGUCUGUUUGUAGAAUUAUUUGCAAUUCUAAUUCUAGCAUUGCUUGCAGCUUGGAGAAGGUGUGCAUUGAUAAACUGUUUUGAUCCCUGUGUGAAACAGAAGUUAAUCCUCUGUAGGGUAAUGGAGUGAGAAUUUUUCCUAAAAAUCUUAUAAAUGGACCUAUAAAAUUUCAUCUUUACAUAGUAUAACCCCCUGAGCAGUUCUCUGUUGAAAUAUUAACUUUACAACAUGAAAGAGAUUAUACCUGUGUCCUUACUCUUCCUGAUUUUGUGAGGUUCCUGCCAGCACCUGUAAAGUCAGUCAGAGGGGGUACAUGGAAUGGUGUUCCUAUUCUGUGUACAGGCUCUUAGUGGAGCUGGGCCUUCAUGAAAGGAGCCCUUUGAGGAAUUUAAUCAUGUUUAAUUUGGCUUAAUAAACUUCUACAAAAGUUUUUUGCA